CCUACGGGAGACAGCAGUGAGGAAUAUUGGUUAAUGGCCGUAAGUCUGAACCAGCCAAGUAGCGUGAGGGAAGACUCCCCUAUGGGUUGUAAACUUCUUUUAUGCGGGGAUAAAGGGUUGCACGUGUGGAUGUUUGCAGGUACCGCAUGAAUAAGGACCGGCUAAUACCGUGCUAGCAGCCGCGGUAAUACGGAGGAUCGGGGCGUUAUCCGGAUUUAUUGGGUUUAAAGGGUGCGUAGGCGGCCUGUUAAGUCAGCUGUGAAAGUCUGGGGCUCAACCAUAGAAUUGCCGUUGAAACUGGGAGGCUUGAGUAUGGUUGAGGGAGGCAGAAUUCGAGGUGUAGCGGUGAAAUGCUUAGAGAUCAGGAAGAACCCCGAUGGCGAAGGCAGCCUGCCAAACGAUGACUGACGCUGAUGUGCGAAAGCGUGGGGAUCAAACAGGAUUAGAUACCCCAGUAGUC
Molecule: ribosomal RNA, 460 nt
Filed under: uncultured bacterium
Lineage: Bacteria
Description: partial 16S ribosomal RNA
Rfam family: Bacterial small subunit ribosomal RNA
Source: RNAcentral